This 567-nucleotide long non-coding RNA is filed under the name Mus caroli (Ryukyu mouse). RNAcentral describes it as "lncRNA (MGP_CAROLIEiJ_G0003253.1)". Lineage: Eukaryota; Metazoa; Chordata; Mammalia; Rodentia; Muridae. The record is from RNAcentral.
GGUAGGCACGGGGCACAUGGCUGGCAGCAUAGCCAGGUUGGAAUAGAUGAGUAUCUAUCCAGGUAUGACGCUUUAAGAUUAUUAAUAAAUAUAUCAGGUCUCCAUGUCUUAUUCAGAUACAAGGAAGGAUGUAAAAAGCCCUGGCCUUUUACAAGGGCUGCUUCUCCAGAAGUCAGAGACUCACAGUGAAAUUACCACUUCUGUCCCAGGGGGCAGAAUAGGGAGGUCACACCCAUGCAUUCCCGCCUGGUGCAGUGUUGGCCCUGGAAAACCUUUCAGUUCACUGCUGUCUACCAGGGCAGUGGAAGACAGCCUUCUUGGACUGUGGACAGAAGGAUGACGGGUAUUGAGGACAAGGAGCGGAGCACGGAUUUCCCUUGUCCCCGGAGCAGUUGUCCAAGGUGCAGAAAAGAUUCCCUGCCAUAGUCUCUGCGGCGCUCAUGGCCUCCUCAGGUUACCAGUCCUCUGGCAGGGAGAGGAAUGGACGCAGCAGGCUCUGUCCCCACAUUUGUCUUUACUCGAAGCAUUUCUCAGAAACAAGUGCAAAAGGAGGACUGUAAAUAGAAC